Molecule: ribosomal RNA, 467 nt
Filed under: uncultured bacterium
Lineage: Bacteria
Description: partial 16S ribosomal RNA
Rfam family: Bacterial small subunit ribosomal RNA
Source: RNAcentral
GACGAACGCUGGCGGCGUGCUUAACACAUGCAAGUCGAACGGAAAGGCCUCUUUCGGGGGGUACUCGAGUGGCGAACGGGUGAGUAACACGUGAGUAACCUGCCCUUUACUUUGGGAUAACUUCAGGAAACUGGGGCUAAUACCGGAUAGGAGCUCCUGCUGCAUGGUGGGGGUUGGAAAGUUUCGGCGGUUGGGGAUGGACUCGCGGCUUAUCAGCUUGUUGGUGGGGUAGUGGCUUACCAAGGCUUUGACGGGUAGCCGGCCUGAGAGGGUGACCGGCCACAUUGGGACUGAGAUACGGCCCAGACUCCUACGGGAGGCAGCAGUGGGGAAGAUUGCACAAUGGGUGGAAGCCUGAUGCAGCAACGCCGUGUGCGGGAUGACGGCCUUCGGGUUGUAAACCGCUUUCGCUCAUGACGAAGCUUUGUGUGACGGUAGUGGGUAAAGAAGCACCGGCUAACUACGUG